Non-coding RNA from Pelobates cultripes (western spadefoot toad), 662 nucleotides. NCBI's taxonomy places the organism in Eukaryota, Metazoa, Chordata, Amphibia, Anura, Pelobatidae. The record is from the annotation of a GenBank genome assembly.
UAACAGAUUCAAAUUUUUGUGUCUGCUUCGGGAUAUGGCAUACGGUUUCAUUAUCGGUAUAAACUGUCAAGGUGAUGUAACACUAAGGGAUAGUAUCGACGUAUAUGAGGAGCUAGUAGAGAGAUUAUGCAAAUAUGUCAAUAGUUUGGGGCAGCACAUGGCCCCAAACGUAAGAUGGGUGGUGAAGUAAGAAUGCUCCUUCUCACAAGUAUCGCCCAAUGCCACCGGCUGGAAGCACUGGGAGCAGAGGCGGCUCUCUAAUUAGGCGUUUUAGGUGGCCGCCUCAGGCCUACACUGUCUGGGGCCUCCUAAAUCAUCUAAGGGCAUACUGAACUGUCACCACCUUAAAGGAGAUUUCUGUAUUUCAUGAAAACAUGGUAAUAGCCCUUUCUAUUCUUUUCAUUUUACUUUAGCUCCCUGUGUACUGGGUUCACUCUCACAGGACUGUUAUAUACGCGGCCGGGUAUCCCUGCCUGCAGUUAGCAGACAAAAUGAUUUGUAAUUUAAACAAACAACCUCCUGUACUGUCCUCAGUGUCCUGUGCACUCUCUGAAAGUCAGUGAGGGACCAGAGACAGAAGCAGACUUAUGCACAAGAAGGAAAUGUCAAUGUUUUAAAGGGAUAGCUAUUUCUGUUUUCCUAUAGGCAGGGAUCAAUGUGGU